Molecule: ribosomal RNA, 526 nt
Filed under: uncultured Anaerolineaceae bacterium
Lineage: Bacteria; Bacillati; Chloroflexota; Anaerolineae; Anaerolineales; Anaerolineaceae
Description: bacterial SSU rRNA
Rfam family: Bacterial small subunit ribosomal RNA
Source: RNAcentral
UAGGGAACCGAAAGGGGACCGACCUUCGGGAGCCGUGACAGGUGCUGCAUGGCUGUCCUCAGCUCGUGUCGUGAGAUGUUCGGUUAAGUCCGAAAACGAGCGCAACCCUCGGGUCUAGUUACACGUGUCUAGACCGACUGCCCGGGAGAACCGGGAGGAAGGUGGGGAUGACGUCAAGUCAGCAUGGCCUUUAUAUCCAGGGCGACACACACGCUACAAUGGGCGGUACAAUGGGUCGCGAAGCCGCGAGGUGGAGCCAAUCCUAAAAAGCCGUUCGUAGUUCGGAUUGCAGGCUGCAACCCGCCUGCAUGAAGCCGGAGUUGCUAGUAACCGCGCGUCAGCUAUAGUGCGGUGAAUACGUUCUCGGGCCUUGUACACACCGCCCGUCACGUCAUGGGAGCUGGUCAUGCCUGAAGUCGGUGAGCCAACCGCAAGGAGGCAGCCGCCGAAGGCAGGGCUGGUGACUGGGACGAAGUCGUAACAAGGUAGCUGUACCGGAAGGUGCGGCUGGAUCACCUCCUUUAUG